Molecule: long non-coding RNA, 1453 nt
Filed under: Homo sapiens (human)
Lineage: Eukaryota; Metazoa; Chordata; Mammalia; Primates; Hominidae
Description: non-protein coding lnc-TMEM105-2:1
Source: RNAcentral
UCAGUGGGCCUCUGAACAAGAGGGGCGUGCAGAGCGGCUUUUUGGCCUCAGUUAACUCUUAAAUGGGUGUCAGAGGCACUGUCUUCCCCUAGCUAUGCGCCUCGUGCCUGGGAGCCUUAGGGCCACACGGAAGGGUAGAAAUCAGUUUCAGAGAUUCCUGCUCCCAGCCCAGGCCCAGACGGCAACAGAAGCUCAUGGAAUGGCAGACUCUGGACAUGCUCCUAGAGAUGGGAGGUCAAAAUGAUCAACGUUCAGGGUCCCUUCAUCUCAGAGGGUCUCGAGUCACCUCAUUUAAAGUGUGGCCUGGGACACCUCCUAUCCAGCCAUACGCCGCCCAGGACUGGCUCAACAGCUCCACCCUCCACUGCUGUUCACCCAUGACACGUCACUUCCCACCCGCCACUGCUGGCUCACCUGUGACACCCCAGGCAGCUCAGAUGCCCGGCAGGUCCUGCUGGUGUGUGUUAGCCGGGGUCUCCAAAGAACCAGAGCCAGCAGGGGACACACCCAUCUCUGUAUCUGGAGAAAAAGAUCGAUGAGAAGGAAUCUGCUCCUGUGAUGAUGGAGGCUGACAAGUCCCGAGAGCCACGUAUUUCCUCAGCUGAGUGCAUGGGGCCAGACCACACUGGGGAGGGCAGUCAGCGUCACUCAGAGCACCGGGUCAUCUCAUGCAGAAACACCCUCAAAGAAAUAGCCCAAAUUAUGCUGACCAAAUAUCUGGGCACCCCGUGCCCCAGACAAGUUGACACAGAAAAUUAACCAUCACAGGUUAACUCCAUCCAGGAGUGGAAUUGCUGGGUCAUAGAGAAGGCAUAGGAAUUCACAGAAAUCACCAAACGGUUUUCAGGCGGUUGUGCCAUGUUAAACUCCCACUGGAAAGAGAGGAGAGCUGUGAUUGUUCCACGUCCUCAGCAACGUUUAGAAUAGGCAGUCUUUGGCCGGGCCGGGCACAGAGGCUCAAACCUGUAACCCCAGCACUUUGGGAGGCCAUAGUGGGUGGAUUACCUGAGAUCAAGAGUUCAAGACCAGCCUGGCCAACAUGGUUAAACCCCGUCUCUAUUAAAAAUGCAAAAAUUAGCCAGGCGUGGUGGUGCGUGCCUGUAAUUCCAGCUACUUGGGGGCUGAGGCAGGAGAAUCGUUUGAACCCAGGAGGCAGAGUUUGCAGCGAGCCGAGAUCGCGCCACUGCACUCCAGCCUGGGCAACAGAAUGAGACUCUGUCUCCAAAAAAAGAAAAAAUAAAUAAAGAAAAGUCAUUCUGUAGUUUUAGCCUUUGUGAAGGCAUGAAGUGGCAUCUCAUUAUGGUUUAAAUGCUUAUUUCGCUGGUGACUAAUGAGGCUGACCAGUUUUUCACUGCAUUUAGCCCUUUCAAUGCACUUCAGGUCUGUGAAGUACUUGUUCAAGUGUAUUGCCCAUUUUAAAAAUUGGUUUGUUUAUCUUUUUCUUAUCAAUUUG